This 75-nucleotide transfer RNA is filed under the name Methylotenera sp. RNAcentral describes it as "tRNA-Met". Lineage: Bacteria; Pseudomonadati; Pseudomonadota; Betaproteobacteria; Nitrosomonadales; Methylophilaceae. The record is from RNAcentral.
GGCCCUUUAACUCACAUGGCGAGAGUGCAGCCCUCAUAAGGCUGAAGGCAGGGAUCGUUACCCUAGGGGCCACCA